GUGGUUGCUUCGGUAGCACAUAUACUAAAAUUGGAACAAUACAGAGAAGAUCAGCAUGCCCCCCUCCCCUCCCCCUGCACAAGGAUGACAUGCAAAUUAGUGAAGUGUUCCAUAUUUUC
Sus scrofa (pig) is the source of this 119-nucleotide small nuclear RNA. The record is from Rfam. NCBI's taxonomy places the organism in Eukaryota, Metazoa, Chordata, Mammalia, Artiodactyla, Suidae.